RNAcentral lists this long non-coding RNA (555 nucleotides) under Mus spicilegus (steppe mouse). RNAcentral's name for it is "lncRNA (ENSMSIG00000030758.1)". The record is from RNAcentral. Lineage: Eukaryota; Metazoa; Chordata; Mammalia; Rodentia; Muridae.
GUAGCUACAGGAUACCUGGUGCUUAGGCCCCUUAAGGACUCCACUCCUGAGCAAGGUCAUAAAUUCUAGCACUUUACAUACCGAAGCUUAGGAAGACAGAAUAUCAGAUCAAGAUUCUCUCUCUAGCAGAGAUUGGAGAUUCCUGAGUGAGAAGAGUGGAAUAUGAGAAGGAUGAAAGCCUGUACAGUUCCUGGACUACCUGCCCAUAUAUCUUCCCUUGAGGAAGAAACACAGUGACAAGAACAGAAACAGGUUCAUACAUUCAGUCUGUAUUUGCUGUUACUAUUAGCAAGGCUUCAUACACCACUCACAGUACAUACACAGGCCAUAGGAUACUUUGAAGGCUGAAUUGAUCCAUUAGCCUGUGGUGCUACAAGCCUGGGCCGCAAUAAUGCUGUAUCCCUCCAGAGGCCUGGCGUGAAAUCAAAUAGGAGGCUGUCUCCAGUGAAGGUGCCUUUUUCUGUCCCCAUCUUUAAUAGGCAGCAAUCUUUAUUUCCCUGGAGGAAAAUGGCAAUGAAUUUGAAAUGGGAUAAAUCUUCAGGAAUGCAAGAUACU